RNAcentral lists this long non-coding RNA (975 nucleotides) under Equus caballus (horse). RNAcentral's name for it is "lncRNA (ENSECAG00000055157.1)". Lineage: Eukaryota; Metazoa; Chordata; Mammalia; Perissodactyla; Equidae. The record is from RNAcentral.
CAUCGUGUGCCCGGCGCUGUUCCGUGUGCCCGGCGCUGUUCCGUGUGCCCUGUGUGUUAGUUUCUGUGAGCCCCCCAUCCCCUGGGAAGUGGGUGGUGCCUUCAGCCCCAUUGUAUCCGUGGAGAAACUGCACAGCCCAGACUUCGUGAGUCUGGCAGUCAAACUCAAACCGAGGAGUCUCCCUCCAGAUCCAGACUCUUGACGACCCCGCUCUCUGGCUUCCCCUUAAGAGAGUGAAUAAGAAGUUGGUGGGGGAUGUUUGCCGACGUCUAGAGGGAGAUGAAGGAGGAAGAGCCCUGAACGGGGAGCCUGAGGCCUGACUCCUGGUCUCUGAGCAGCCACAACAGUGCUCAGACUAUAACGUCCACGAAAGCAGGAAUUUGGGGCAGUUGCAUCUCUUUUGUUCACUGAUGUCUCCCAAGUGCCUGGAAGAGUGCUUGACACAUGCCCGAGAACUUGCGAACCAAGGUUGGCAUGAGACACACCUGUAAUGGAAAUCUGCCCGACCUAGUCCUCGCCUCGCUCUUUUCUCCACCGCCAGCCAUUCUGCCAUCACCUGCCAAGGGCCUGUCAUCUGUCAGUCACCAGGGACUGAAGAAUCAGAGGUGAAUGAGACGCCAGACCUGCCUUAGGGGAACCCACAGUCUAGGGGGUCUAGAAGGGUGAUUAGGACAGCUCUUCUAUCUCCAGAGGCAAUACAGGAUCAAGAGCUAGAAAAGGCGCACUGGGGGCAUAAUAAUCCAGGAAGAGGGAAUGUGGUGAAACAAGUCAGAGGGGAGAAAGAGCGACUUUGUCUGGCAUGGCUGGAAUGAAGAUCACCUGUGGAGGGGAAGGGAGUGACACAGCUGGUGAGCCAGGCUGAAGGGUCGGGACUGUAUCCUGUAUGUGGUGGGGAACUUCUGGAAGGCUGUAUGCGGGGUCGGCUAUUUAGGAUUAAUAUGGAAGCACGCUGUAGGUGGAUGGGUGAGCCAGGAG